RNAcentral lists this ribosomal RNA (408 nucleotides) under uncultured bacterium. RNAcentral describes it as "partial 16S ribosomal RNA". It matches the Rfam family "Bacterial small subunit ribosomal RNA", at positions 29 to 526 of the family's 1533-position model. The record is from RNAcentral.
UACUAACUCUUUCUUCUUUCUUAACACAUGCAAGUCUAACGGAGUGGCGAACGGGUGAGUAACACGUGGGUGACCUGCCCUGCACUUCGGGAUAAGCCUGGGAAACUGGGUCUAAUACCGGAUAGUGUGGGAUGGGCCCGCGGCCUAUCAGCUUGUUGGGGGGGUAAUGGCCUACCAAGGCGGCGACGGGUAGCCGGCCUGAGAGGGUGGACGGCCACAUGGGGACUGAGACACGGCCCAGACUCUUACGGGAGGCAGCAGUGGGGAAUAUUGCACAAUGGGCGGAAGCCUGAUGCAGCGACGCCGCGUGGGGGAUGACGGCCUUCGGGUUGUAAACUCCUUUCACCAUCGACGCGGUAGAUGGAGAAGAAGCACCGGCUAACUACGUGCCAGCCGCCGCGGUAAUAC